This is a long non-coding RNA of Bubalus bubalis (water buffalo), 3998 nucleotides long. RefSeq lists it as uncharacterized. The record is from RefSeq and is a predicted model, not a curated record. The transcript is spliced from 2 exons. NCBI's taxonomy places the organism in Eukaryota, Metazoa, Chordata, Mammalia, Artiodactyla, Bovidae.
AGAGUCCUGUGGACAGAGAAGCCUGGAGGGCCAUGGUCCACGGGGUUGCAAAGAGUCGGACACGACUGAGUGACUCACACAACAGUGGUAGAUACAGUGAAGAAAAUAAUAAAAAGUCACCAUCUCUGGAAAUCCAGCCCAGGUGUUUGCUCCAACCCCCUGGCUUUCUCUGAUGAAAGGACUUGCACCAGUUUAUUAUCAGGGACAGAUUUUUUUUUUUCUCCCUGGAACGGACUUCUAAGAGAAAUUGAUCACCUAGAUCCUCAGAUAAGGACUCCGAUUAGAACAAAGAACCAUGUCUUCAGUCCUGCUGCGGAGGCAGCCAUGUGUGAGCCAAGAAGAGCGGUCAGGCGGGGUCUCAGGCGCGGGCCGCGUCUGCAGCGCCCUCCUGUCUCAGGGGCCACAGGCUCCCAGCUCCCCGCCUGCCCGCCGCACAGGGGCAGCGGUGCCUUCCCCACAGGACUGUCGUGAUGGCCGCAAAAGGCACGUGCCCGUUGUGGUCGCCCGCUCGGUGACGAGACCUUCAGCCCACACUGGGUAAAGUAGCUGAGUGACCAGCUGCUGACCGACACCGGCCGGAGCAAAAAAGGACCCACGUGAUACUCACCGCCGACCUUUGAGGCAGACGCCGUGUUCACCGCCGCCAGCCCGCUCCGCAGAUGCAAAAGGGCCGUCCUGCCUCUGGUCAGGCGGCUGGCGGUGGGCACAGCUGAGCUCACCUGCAGGCAGCCAGGCCUUCCUUCUGAUGGCACCGCAGAGUAGACCCUGAAUGCGUUUCCUCCCAGUCAGCUGGGUCUAAUGCAGACCCUUACCAAAGCCCAGGGGCCGGAGCUGACUGUCCUUUCCUGGAGGCAUUUCUGCAAGCAGCUCAGCCAGGUGGUUCUGGGAAGGGUGCUUGCUGGUGAUCUGGCUGGAGCAUGAGAAGCUAGAGAGGGAAACAGGCUUGGCUGGGCCUUCACGAGCAGCCAUCUGAGCAGCCCCAUCCCGGAGCCUGUGGGGACCCCAUGUCUGUUGUGCAGCCGGACGUGGCUUUGUGGCUGUCAGCCUGGCUGAAUCACGGGCCACCGCCUACACCUUCCUCAUCCUGCAUCCUGGUCCUGAGACUAGCCCUGGCUCUCCCAACCCCCUCUCACAUAAAUCCCUCCCUGGGGAGGGGGGCUUCGGUUCCUGGGCCAGGCACUGUGUGAGCACCAGUUUCAUCCCGCCAGCAAGGGAGAGGCUGUGAGCCCCCAGUUUACUGAUGGGGCUCAGACGGAGGGGCGUGUGCACUCACACGCGUGACCAACCCGGGUGGCUGAGCCCCGGUUCCACCCUCCUCCCGCUCUGCUGGCCACCGUGACCUUCCUUCCACACACCUCCAGGAGCCUGCGCCUUUGUGUCAGUGGGAAGAGCGGCACUGGGGGCACUCAGGAGAUGGGGACCAGGGCCGGCCGGCCCCAGUCCUCCAGGCCGGAGCAGCUGAUUCAGCGCGAGUCCACAUCCAUGCCCAGGGACUGGCUUGGCCAUGCCCGGCUGGUCAGAGCUAAUCCUGGGCUGCUGCCAGAACGACUGAGAACAGAGGCCCUUUUGCUGUUGAGGUUACCAGGCAGACAGGACACUAGCCUGGAGCCGUGGGGGCACCUUAGCCACCCCUCCACCCACCUGCCAGGGAAGCCACGCCCGAGGGAAGCGGAGCCAAGGCACAGAGAGAGACUGAUUGCUGACCAUAUCCUCUAAGGCUCUAAACCGAACAAAGCCAAUCUGCCCUGCAGUCUGGGAAUGCGACCCCGUUCCCACAGCGUCUCUUCUGUCGUUGGGAGUGGUGUGGGCACAUUUGGCAGUCGCCACGGGCUGCUGAGAGGGGGCGAGCAGGCAAUGGGAGCAGCUGCUUGGCCCGCACGCGGCUCGAAGCCCCAGAUUGCUGACGAGGUGCUGCAGACAAGAGACAGGCAGCUGUGGUUUGGGCGGAGGGCCCCCGAGCAGCCAAGCUCCGCUGGUGAGGCAGGGCCGGCUCGGCUGGCCGCCCUGCUGCAGUCAGCUCGCCCGGCGCACACGGCCUCCGUGCUAGAGCCGCGCGCACCCGCAGGCGCUGGGGGAAGGCCUCACCGUCCUCAGCCCUGCGGCAGCUCGUAGCUCUCCUCCAAGACACGACCCACCCAGCGGCCAGAACAGCCUCUGCCUGCAUCAACUGCACCAGCGGAAGGCACGUUACCCUUAAGGGGCCAGAGACUAAGUAUGAGAAACACCCAAAGGCUUAGGGGGCCAGGUGGCCUCUGUCCCAACCACCGUGCAGCUCUGCUGAUGCAACCUGCGAGCGGCCACAGAUGCCAUGGAAACGAACGGGCGAGACUGGGUUCCAAUAAAACUUUAUUUUCAAAAAAGAGGCAACACCUGGACCUCAAGCUGUGGUCGGUGGCUCAUCGGUGCCUCUGUUCAAAACCCUGUAACGGCUCCACAUCCCCGCAGAGUCAAACCCAGCUCCUGACGUGGGUGGCAAGGAGCUGCAGGGCAGGUGGGUCCCCCAGCACCACACGAAGCACCUUCCGGCCUCAAGGCCUUUGCGCUGGCUGCUUCCUCGGCCUAGAGCACUCCCAGGCCCACCUCCCACUGUUAUGUGACUCACCAUUCCCGUUACUGAGGUCUCACAAAGACCAUUCUUUCAGCCCUCCGAAGUGACCUCAGCUCCCUCCCUACUCGCUUUUUAAAAUGUGUAUUUAUUGUUGGCCGUGCUGGGUCUCUGCUGCUGUGUGGGCUUUUCUCUAGCUUCAGCGCGUGGGCUGCUCACUGAGCAGGCUUCUCUUGUUGUGGAGCAGGGCUUCAGCAGCUGUGGCUUCUGGGUUCUGGAGCACAGGCUCAGUGGUUGUGCCGCAUGGGCUGAGCUGCUUGGUGGCACAUGGGAUCUUCCCAGACUGGGGAUCGAACCCGUGUCUCCUGCAUGCGUAGGCAGAUUCUUUACCACUGAGCCACCACGGAAGCCCCCUGCUAGCUCUUUAUCGGAACACCUCGUCUUAUUUUCUGCAUAGCAGGCACCACCAUCUGAAUGAAUCUCUUCUCUGUUUUAAAUUAAUUUUUAUUUAUCUGUUUAUUUAAUUUUUUGGCUGCACUUCAUGGCUUGCAGGAUGUUCCCUGACCAAAGACUGAGCUCAGGCUGUGGCUGAGCUCAGGCCCUGGGCCACUGGGCCGUCCGGGAACUCUGGGAUGAUCUCUUCCCUCUGUUCACCUUCCCGUAGUCCCUCUCCCGUAAGCUGCGGGAGGGGAGGGAAUCCAGCGGGUCUGCGCACAGGGUUGGAGGGCAGCGCUCUGUGGAGAACAAAGGAGUGAGUGGAUGGACAGGGAGCCCAGCAGCCUCCCAGGCCGCUUCUCCCACCCUCCCAUUCCUGGACCCCACAGCCCUCUGCUGACCGAAGUCUUUCACAGUGACUAUCUGAUCGCCCCCUGCCACAGCUUGAAGCCCCUAGCGACCCCCAUUGUUCAAAGUCCAAGCUCCUCUGCUGCCCGAGGCCCCGCCCAAGCGGACAGCUGCCUGCCUCUCCCUGCCCGACUCUCGUUCUGAAGACAGGCUGCCCUGGGGGUCCACGGACGUGAUCCCAAAGGACACCAUGUAUCUGUGGAGGUGUUUUUGCAUGAUCAGAAAACAGGUUAUGCUCCAGGAAUUCACUUUGAACAAAAGGACAAGGCUAUGAACACCUGAUUCAUGAGAUGCCGGGAACCCAUCCAGUUUCCUCCAGUCACCCGGCCCAGAUCAGGCUCUCGCAGUGACGCACUCCAGGCAGAAGGAGAGAAUGUGAUCUCUUCAGACUGACGCCAAAGCCCGGUGGGGUUGGCAGUGGAGGCGGGUGGGGUGUGGAACGCACUGCUCUCAGCACUUGCUGUGGCCUGGCGGUGGAAUGGGGACACAGAGUGGCAGCCUGGCGCUGUGCGCGCCUGUGUAGCUGUGUAGAUGGCACAGUGUAGAUGGCACAGUGUAGCCACACUGCAUAGACCUUACUGUGUAGACCGUAACAUGUAGACCUCACUGU